CUCCCUUGGCGAAGCAAUCUUGAUGCUGUUUCACGGUCCACUCUGCAAUGACGAGAAGACAUAUCCAAACCAGAGACGUAGAAGUGACGGCCCAGAAUUGCAUGGAAUGGCGCAGGAUGGUCCACAAGAGACGUUGCCUUGAUGCAGACCACUUGACACAACGAUGAAGAGACCUUAUCAAGUAUCAAGAUCAUCCCCAGUCCAUUCUACU
This is a long non-coding RNA of Branchiostoma floridae (Florida lancelet), 211 nucleotides long. RefSeq lists it as uncharacterized. NCBI's taxonomy places the organism in Eukaryota, Metazoa, Chordata, Leptocardii, Amphioxiformes, Branchiostomatidae. The transcript has 3 exons. The record is from RefSeq and is a predicted model, not a curated record.